AGCAGUCGCCGCGGUAACACGGAGGGGGCUAGCGUUGUUCGGAAUUACUGGGCGUAAAGCGCACGUAGGCGGCUUUGUAAGUUAGAGGUGAAAGCCUGGAGCUCAACUCCAGAAUUGCCUUUAAGACUGCAUCGCUUGAAUCGCGGAGAGGUGAGUGGAAUUCCGAGUGUAGAGGUGAAAUUCGUAGAUAUUCGGAAGAACACCAGUGGCGAAGGCGGCUCACUGGACGCGUAUUGACGCUGAGGUGCGAAAGCGUGGGGAGCAAACAGGAUUAGAUACCCCAGUAGUCCCUGUCUCUUAUAC
This 303-nucleotide ribosomal RNA is filed under the name uncultured bacterium. RNAcentral's name for it is "partial 16S ribosomal RNA". It matches the Rfam family "Bacterial small subunit ribosomal RNA", at positions 507 to 807 of the family's 1533-position model. The record is from RNAcentral.